Molecule: small nuclear RNA, 21 nt
Filed under: Arabidopsis thaliana (thale cress)
Lineage: Eukaryota; Viridiplantae; Streptophyta; Magnoliopsida; Brassicales; Brassicaceae
Description: snRNA_05144
Source: RNAcentral
UUAGUUUGGUUAGGAAGGUAU